RNAcentral lists this transfer RNA (84 nucleotides) under Candidatus Pacearchaeota archaeon CG06_land_8_20_14_3_00_35_12. RNAcentral describes it as "tRNA-Ser". It matches the Rfam family "tRNA". Rfam says of the family: Transfer RNA (tRNA) molecules are approximately 80 nucleotides in length. Their secondary structure includes four short double-helical elements and three loops (D, anti-codon, and T loops). Further hydrogen bonds mediate the characteristic L-shaped molecular structure. tRNAs have two regions of fundamental functional importance: the anti-codon, which is responsible for specific mRNA codon recognition, and the 3' end, to which the tRNAs corresponding amino acid is attached (by aminoacyl-tRNA synthetases). tRNAs cope with the degeneracy of the genetic code in two manners: having more than one tRNA (with a specific anti-codon) for a particular amino acid; and 'wobble' base-pairing, i.e. permitting non-standard base-pairing at the 3rd anti-codon position. Lineage: Archaea; Nanobdellati. The record is from RNAcentral.
GCCGGGAUGGCCCAAUGGUAAGGCGCCAGCCUUGAGAGCUGGUUUCGCGCAAGCGAUCUGGGGGUUCGAUUCCCUCUCCCGGCG